GGUGAGAUGGCCGAGUUGGUUAUGGCGCCAGGUUAAGGCUUUCAAGCGUUAACGAAUGUUUCCUGGUGGAGCAAUCCUCCUGGGUUCGAGUCCCAGUCUCAUCA
Purpureocillium lilacinum is the source of this 104-nucleotide transfer RNA. It matches the Rfam family "tRNA". From Rfam's summary of the family: Transfer RNA (tRNA) molecules are approximately 80 nucleotides in length. NCBI's taxonomy places the organism in Eukaryota, Fungi, Ascomycota, Sordariomycetes, Hypocreales, Ophiocordycipitaceae. The record is from Rfam.